RNAcentral lists this ribosomal RNA (253 nucleotides) under uncultured bacterium. Its description in RNAcentral is "partial 16S ribosomal RNA". It matches the Rfam family "Bacterial small subunit ribosomal RNA", at positions 524 to 776 of the family's 1533-position model. The record is from RNAcentral.
UACGUAGGGGGCGAGCGUUGUCCGGAUUUAUUGGGCGUAAAGAGCGUGUAGGCGGCCAGGUAGGUCUGCUGUGAAAACUCGAGGCUCAACCUCGAGACGUCGGCGGAAACCAUCUGGCUAGAGUCCGGAAGAGGAGAAUGGAAUUCCCGGUGUAGCGGUGAAAUGCGCAGAUAUCGGGGAGAACACCCGUGGCGAAGGCGGUUCUCUGGGACGGUACUGACGCUGAGACGCGAAAGCGCGGGGAUCAAACAGG